AGUGAACGCUGGCGGUAGGCCUAACACAUGCAAGUCGAACGGCAGCACAGUAAGAGCUUGCUCUUACGGGUGGCGAGUGGCGGACGGGUGAGGAAUACAUCGGAAUCUGCUUUUUCGUGGGGGAUAACGUAGGGAAACUUACGCUAAUACCGCAUACGACCUACGGGUGAAAGCAGGGGAUCUUCGGACCUUGCGCGAUUGAAUGAGCCGAUGUCGGAUUAGCUAGUUGGCGGGGUAAAGGCCCACCAAGGCGACGAUCCGUAGCUGGUCUGAGAGGAUGAUCAGCCACACUGGAACUGAGACACUGUCCAGACUCCUACGGGAGGCAGCAGUGGGGAAUAUUGGACAAUGGGCGCAAGCCUGAUCCAGCCAUACCGCGUGGGUGAAGAAGGCCUUCGGGUUGUAAAGCCCUUUUGUUGGGAAAGAAAAGCAGCAGGUUAAUACCCCGCUGUUCUGACGGUACCCAAAGAAUAAGCACCGGCUAACUUCGUG
Molecule: ribosomal RNA, 492 nt
Filed under: uncultured bacterium
Lineage: Bacteria
Description: partial 16S ribosomal RNA
Rfam family: Bacterial small subunit ribosomal RNA
Source: RNAcentral